UCUUAUCUAGAGUGGCGGAGGGAAAGGCCCGAUGAAGCCCGGCAACCGAUUUAUCCGAUGUUUGGUACGAUACCGGAAUCGAUAAAUGUCAUGGUGCUAAUUCCUUCAAAGUCUGUUUGCUUAUGGCAGGCAGGGCUUUGGCAGAUGA
Molecule: non-coding RNA, 148 nt
Filed under: uncultured Paenibacillus sp.
Lineage: Bacteria; Bacillati; Bacillota; Bacilli; Caryophanales; Paenibacillaceae
Description: SAM riboswitch (S box leader)
Rfam family: SAM riboswitch aptamer (S box leader)
About the family: The SAM riboswitch is found upstream of a number of genes which code for proteins involved in methionine or cysteine biosynthesis in Gram-positive bacteria. The SAM riboswitch acts at the level of transcription termination control. The predicted structure consists of a complex stem-loop region followed by a single stem loop terminator region.
Source: RNAcentral